UUCAAAGAAAAUGGCGUGUUGAAUGGCACCAACAUGAUUUUCAUAAGGAAAAAUUUCCAAAUCAGUCACACAAUACACGAGAAGAGGUAAAAGAAGGGCUUUGCUGUCUGAUCCUUUUCGGGUAAAAAAUGAUAAACCGUGACUUAGCCGAAAUAUCGGCGUCACAACUCAGGAAGUAAUGUCAACUAGUCAGGCACAGACAGCAUUGCCAUUGAAAGAAGAAACAAAACAGAAAUAUCCACAUGACAUUCAGAUUGGUCAUAGUAAUCAGCUGGUAAUGAUAUUGAGGGUAAUGAAAUCAUUUUUAGAAAAUGUAAAACGAGUCGACACAAGUUUUCCCGAUGUACUCGGUUUUACCUGAGACUACUACUGAGACUACUAUAACACAUGUAGUCUCAGGUUUUACAUACAGUGCUGUUUGCAACGCCGUAUCCUUCAAUUUCAUUAAAGACAUUAACUUGAACGGUGUAUAAAAUGCUUGCAAAAGUGAGAAAACAACAUAAACGCCAACGUGUAAAAAGAUUUUAUUUAAAAAAUUGAUUGAUUAAACGAGAUUACUCCGGAAGAAUUCCGAUUUUGAUUCCGUUUUAUAUUUUAUUUUAGCUCUCUACGUGUGAGGUAGAAAAGGUAAACAAAAACAAAGUUUCUUUUUUUCUCUCUUUUGAAAUACGCUAUAUAAAAAAAAACCAGGCAGCUAAUAUUAGUACCUAUUGCAAGAUUGUCAUAUUAACAUAAAAGUGUAAUCAAAUUCAGUUCUAGAAUUAACAAAUAAAAUUUGUUCGGUGUAGAAAAAAAAACCUUUACCGGGAUUGCGGCUUGCCAAACUGAAAACACCAUCAAAUGGCAUCAUACUGAAGGUGUGCCUAUAUUGAAGUAGAAGUAGAUAAUAACUUUAUAUAAACCCUUAAGUGAUUAAUUGUUGUCUACUCUUAAACAGUGAUAUCUUUAGAUAGAUGUUUUAGAUUUUAAAGUAUUUAAAGGUGUUGAUGCAGUCUGGGAACAGUAUAUGUCAAUAUAUAUGUUCCUGAUGCAGUCUAAAUUGACAUUAAGCCCAAUUUUAUCGUCAAGAAUGUAAAUAAUGUACAGUGAUAUUGGUGGAAGAUAUUUUUAUUCAUGUUGUUAAAUACACUACUCGGAAGAGGUGUGCCUACAUUGGCAGAAGCUAUAUAACAAGAUACAGAUUGGCAGAAAAUAUAAAGAUACAGAUACAUGGACCUGCUAACGCACAAAUUCUUCAUUAGAGAAGACGUUGAAGAACUAACAUGACGGUACCCAAAUUGCACCUAUUUUGACAGUUUUUUCACCUACGUUUUUUUAUGAUGCAGACAAAAGUUUCCAAUCUGUGUUUAUUUUGUAGAUGUAUACUUGUUUACUAUAUAGUUACACCUAUUUAAUUUUGAAUCCAUAUUGAAUCAUUGAAAAAUGAGUAUGAACUGACCUCCAAACGAUCCAGGAUUCCAUUACGAGGAGUACCCAAAUUGCAUCGGCCAGCCGGCCAUGCUUAAACUCACAUCCUUAAGAAUUGAAUAACAGCUAGAUGUUUUGUUCCAUUUCUUCAAAUAUUUAGAACAAUUUGACAUUAGUCCAUGCUUACUAUCCAUUUAAUAAGAAAUGAUGACUUUUUGAGAACUUCGCAUGACGACGAUUCCGUAGAUUUACUUUUUCCAGUGAAAGCUUCAUCUGUUGAUAUUUACUGUGAACGUUUUGUGUAUAUUUAAAUAUAUUCAGCUAUGUUAAAAGUCGUGUGUAAUGUCAAAUUAUAAAAAUACUAAGUGUUUAUUCUUAAAGAAAACUUGUAAGAUUUCCACAGCUGUUUUUGUUGAAUAUGUGCAAUUUGUGUACUCAGUGCAAUUUGGGCACUGUUACGUUAUAUCUGUUCUCUACAGAGCUAAGUAUUUAGUGACAAUCUAUUUUCUUAUUGGAUAAUGUAUCUGGUCUAAAAAAAAAUAGUUUGCCACAAGUAUUUAGUGACAAUUAUCUAUUCCUGUAUUAGAUGAUGUAUCUGGUGUGAUUUUUUUAUUAUUUUACCACUGAAUGAAUCACCAAUCAAACUAUAUAAAUAGAUUGAAGUUAAAAAAAAUAUCUGGAAAAUUAACUGAAUCCCAAGACAGAAUGAAUAAUAUAAUUAUAACUUUUUUGUUAUGCCCAACUGCUAGUCGAAGGGGCAUUAACUUUUACUGUUGUCAUGAUGUCCAUCCAUACAUAUGUCUGUCUGUACAGAAAUUGGUUUCCAUUUUCUUACUUUAUUUGCACUCAAUUAUUUUUUUCACAGAACACAGAUCAAUUUAUUCGAAUUUGAGUGGCAUCACUUUGACCGUUCGUGAGUUAUGCCCCUUUAUUAACGCAAAAAUUGCUGAAUCUUUCUUUUCUUGUCUCUAACUUUAGUUUGUCCCAACAAAUGUUAUAAAACUUAUACACUACUUAUUACCACAAAACACAGAUCAAGUUUGAAUUCUACUCCCGUCACUGUAACUGUUCUUGAGUUACAUGUAUUUAUGCUCCUUUAUUAUUAAAUGGAAAAAAUUGCCAAAUCUGUGGUGGAUCCGACAAACUGUUGUAUACCGAUUUUAUUUAUUUAGAUAUGAUUUACAAACUUCAGAAAAGGUUGAGAAGCAUUUUAAUUCUAGGGAAUUCCAACCUGAAGCAAGUUGUACCAAUGGAAUUGAUGGAAGCCCCCAUUAGAACACAGUGAGUGUGCAUAACUGGGGUUGCAACUUCACCAUCUCAUACAGCAUCUAGUUCAUCAAAGAUGACCUAUGCUGAAGUGGUGAGACUUCCUGUGCAUGCAACAGGUCAGACCAAACUAAAACCACGUUUGAUAUUAAGUGUAUGGAAAUGAAGAAAUCAAUUGGAGUCCAUACAUUUAAAAGGAGGAGUGUGUCUUCAGUUGAGAUUGGUAGAAAAAAAGAAAAAACAAUACAGGGUAAAGACAAGUGAUCUAGUAUUUGGGGUCACCGAGGAUGUGGCUGUAGUCCUACCAAACAAAGCUUUACUGGAACAUAGUUUUUAUCAGAUACCAAAUAAAGAAAAUGCUGUUGAGGAACAGGGGAGUUUCUGUGAUGAGAAUGAUACACAAAGAGCAUUUGAGUGUAAUGAAGUUGAGAGUAGUAUUUUAACCAAAAGAACAUCUGCCUUAACAACAGUGAAGGUUUUAGUGAGCAGGUGUUAUUUGGUGAUGUUGAAAGAAAUCCAGGACCUACAAUGGUUUAUCAAGACUAAUCUUAGUGCUUGCCAUACAAGUGUCAAAGAGUGAAGGGCAAGAACAAUUUUAAAGAACAGAGAAGACUUGUUUUAUUGCACUUAGUUUUGAGUUUUUUGUCGAGCCUUCGACUUUAGUCGAAAAAGCGAGACAUAGCGAUCCUACAUUCCGUCGGCGUCGUCGUCGGCGGCGUCCACAAAUAUUUACUCUGUGGUUAAAGUUUUUGAAAUUUUAAUAACUUUCUUAAACUAUCCUGGAUUUCUACCAAACUUGGACAGAAGCUUGUUUAUGAUCAUAAGAUAGUAUCCAGAAGUAAAUUUUGUAAAAAUAAAAUUCCAUUUUUUCCGUAUUUUACUUAUAAAUGGACUUAGUUUUUCUGCCGGGAAAUAUUACAUUCACUCUGUGGUUAAAGUUUUUAAAAUUUUAAUAACUUUCUUAAACUAUCCUGGGUUUGUACCAAACUUGGACAGAAGCUUGUUUAUGAUCAUAAGAUAGUAUCCAGAAGUAAACUUUGUAAAAAAAAAAAUCCAUUUUUUCCUUAUUUUAUUUUUAAAUGGACUUAGAUUUUCUGCCAGGAAACAACACAUUCACUCUUUGGUUAAAGUUUUUAAAAUUUUAAUAACUUUCUUAUUCUAUUUUGGAUUUGUACCAAACUUGGACAGAAGCUUGUUUAUGAUCAAAUGCUAGUAUCUAGAAGGAAAUUUUGUUUUCUUUCAGUUAACAUUACAUACAGUCUGCAGUUAAAGUUUUUAAACAUUUAUUAGAUUCAUAAACUAUCCUGGAUUUUUACCAAACUUGGACAGAAGCUUCUUACAAUCAAAAGAUAGUAUCAAGUGGAAUAUUUUUAUUGAUUUACUUCCUCAUUUUUGUUGAGCCUGCGAUUAACAGAAAAAGUAGGCGAGACACUGGGUUCCGCGGAACCCUUACGAAUUUUUGUUUUAUAUUUUACCACUAUGAUAGAGUAAUGUAACAUUCAGGAAAUGUAUUGUUCUGAUAUAUCUGUUUUAUAAUUUCUCCUUUUCAUAUGCCCGUUUACGGGACGUAAUAUGGUAUACCAUUGACCGUCUGUCCGUCCGUCUGUCCGUCCGUCCGUCGUCAACAUGUCGGACAUUAACUCAAAAAUGCUUUAACCAAUAUGCAUGAAACUUUGGUGAAUUGUUUAUAUCUAUUUACGUGAGCUCUCUUUCAUUUUUUAUAAAUUUUGGAUUUACCGUUUCCGAGUUUUGUGGGUUUUAUUCAUUAAAAAAGAGGGAAUUUUCCAGUUUUUGGACAAUAACUCGAAAUCAAUUUCACCAAUUUGUAAGAAACUUUGGUGAAUUGUUUAUUUCUAUCGACAUGAGCUCCCUUUUGAUUUUUAUAAAUUUUAGACUAGAUGUUUCUGAUUUAUGGGGUUUUAUUCAUUACAAAAAGGGGGAUUUUCCAGUUUUCGGACAAUAACUCAAAAAUGCUUUCAGCAUUUUUUAUGAAUCUUUGGUAAAUUGUUUAUAUCUAUAGUUGUAAGCUCCCAUUUGAUUAUUACAAAUUUAAGAUUUUACGUUUCCAAGUUAUAAGAUUUUAUUCAUAAAAAAGGGGUGAUUUUCAAGUUUUUGGACAAUAUCCUUAAACUGCUUAGAGCAGUUUUCAUUAAACUUUGAUGACUGAUUUAUAUCUAUUAAGAUAACCUCCCUUUAGGUUUUUAUAAAUUUCUGAUAUAACAUUGAUAAGUUAUUGUUUGUUUAUAGUCUGACAACAGAUUUACUAAGUAUUGUGCAACAGCACAGUGUAUUGCACAACAGCAAGAAAUCUUUAAUUGAAUAUAAAUUUAAUUCAUAUAACCAAUUUCAAGUUCUUUGACUACAUUUAUUCAGAAACCUAUAAUAUGUCAAAUAUUUAAUUACAAUCCAAAUUCAGACCUGUAUCAAGCUUGAAUAUUGUGUCUAUUUUUGCCCCAGCUGUUCAGGGUUGGACCUCUGUGGGCGUAUCCAGCUGCGCUCAGCGAAGCAGUUUAUUAGAAAUGUGUUAGAUGUUUUUUUUUAUACCUUUUCCUACUUGAGUACUAUUGACAACUACUUUCUAUAAUUUUUUUAUUUCCUAAUAUUAAGAUGUCAUUCUUGAAUACCUUGUAGGUAUGAACUGGGUUUUUUUCUUCUUGAUAUGUGUAGUAUAAAUCCCCCCCCCCCCCCAAUUAUGUUUAGUUUUGAAAAAAAUAUAUAUACCAUAAGGACUGUCCACUAUGGAUGCCUCUCUAAAUAAAGAUAAGAGAAUCUUGGCAUACAUUAAAUACAAAUUUCUAAAAAAAAAAAAAUUAUGAAGACUCCAUACAAAAAAACUUUGGAAAGUGUCACACCAGUGAUUCUUUUUGUAUAAUUCAGGUUAGUUCUAAAUCUCAUUUUUCAUUGGGGAUUUUCUUCAUUGUAUAGAGGAUGCAUUUAUCAUCUAGUUUAAUAUACCUCACAAUGUGUAAAUGUUGUAAAUACAGAAAAACAUACAUAAUGAUUAUGAUAUGCUAAUACUUCAUUAUUGCAAAUAAUUUUACUUUAAAUACUUCAUUAUUACAAAUAAUUUUACUUUAAAUUAUGAUGAAUAUUUAAACUGGAAUUGACUAUUCACAUUUUAUGCUCGUUGAUUGUUGACAUUAUGUUUUGAAAAACAGAAAGAAGUCAAAGGACUAAGAGUUACAAGAUAGAAAGUCAAAAAGUCACAAUUUAUUAAUUUACAAUUAUUUAAAUGUAUAAAAGGAAAUGCAUUAAAUAUUGUCUCUUUCUAAGAUAAAUUGCUUGUGCAUUAUUAAUGUUUGAAAAUGGUAAAUUUGUUAAUAAUUUGUUUGGUCUAUAAAUUAUAAUAGAUUAAAAUGUCAAUUGAAUUAGUCUUCCUAUUAAAAAAAAAAUCUCUCAAAACCACAUAGUGACCUCUUGCUCUAUAUUUUUUAAUUGGUUACUUUUUUGUCUAUUUUGUUUUAUACCAUAAUAUUAUGCAUGAUAAAUAUAAAUUGUGCUUUAUGCAUGUCACUAAUGUAUAGAUAAUUUUCUUUUAAUGUUGUGUAAACUUA
Molecule: long non-coding RNA, 6227 nt
Organism: Mytilus californianus (California mussel)
Lineage: Eukaryota; Metazoa; Mollusca; Bivalvia; Mytilida; Mytilidae
Exons: 6
Source: RefSeq, a predicted model, not a curated record